This 676-nucleotide long non-coding RNA is filed under the name Homo sapiens (human). Its description in RNAcentral is "long non-coding RNA NONHSAT180368.1". The record is from RNAcentral. Lineage: Eukaryota; Metazoa; Chordata; Mammalia; Primates; Hominidae.
UCAAUGACCACGGCGAUUUCGUAACGCCCCCGUUCCGAAAGUGUUCUUCUGGGCAGUGCAACCCCGACGGCGCGGAGCUAUGUAGCCCCUGCGGCGGCGGAGCCGUGACCCCUACUCCCGCCGCGGGCGGGGGCAGAACCCCGUGGCGCUGCAGAGAGGCGCCCUGGAGACAGGGGACACAUGGAAGGAGGCCUCACUACUUCCACUCCUGAGCAGGGGUUAGUCCUGGAGGAGCCCCGGGGCAGGGAAGGUGGACUGGACGCCCGCUCUUCCGCACCUUUACCCUUCCCCUUUCUUCCAGAACUGUCCAGUCUGGCGUCACAACCCCUGUCUCGCCUCCUGGAUGAGCUGGAGGUGCUGGAAGAGCUGAUUGUACUGCUGGACCCUGAGCCUGGGCCAGGUGGGGGUAUGGCCCAUGGCACUACUCGACACCUGGCCGCAAGAUAUGGGCUGCCUGCUGCCUGGUCCACCUUUGCCUAUUCGCUGAGGCCGAGUCGCUCGCCGCUGCGGGCUCUGAUUGAGAUGGUGGUGGCAAGGGAGCCCUCUGCCUCCCUGGGCCAGCUUGGCACACACCUCGCCCAGCUAGGGCGGGCAGAUGCAUUGCGGGUGCUGUCCAAGCUUGGCUCAUCUGGGGUUUGCUGGGCUUAACACCCAAUAAAGAACUUUGCUGACUACU